This 443-nucleotide ribosomal RNA is filed under the name uncultured bacterium. RNAcentral's name for it is "partial 16S ribosomal RNA". It matches the Rfam family "Bacterial small subunit ribosomal RNA", at positions 338 to 795 of the family's 1533-position model. The record is from RNAcentral.
CCUACGGGAGGCAGCAGUGGGGAAUAUUGGGCAAUGGGCGCAAGCCUGACCCAGCAACGCCGCGUGAAGGAAGAAGGCUUUCGGGUUGUAAACUUCUUUUGUCAGGGACGAAGCAAGUGACGGUACCUGACGAAUAAGCCACGGCUAACUACGUGCCAGCAGCCGCGGUAAUACGUAGGUGGCAAGCGUUAUCCGGAUUUACUGGGUGUAAAGGGCGUGUAGGCGGGGAAGCAAGUCAGAUGUGAAAACCACGGGCUCAACCUGUGGCCUGCAUUUGAAACUGUUUUUCUUGAGUGCUGGGGAGGCAAUCGGAAUUCCGUGUGUAGCGGUGAAAUGCGUAGAUAUACGGAGGAACACCAGUGGCGAAGGCGGCUUACUGGACUGUAACUGACGUUGAGGCUCGAAAGCGUGGGGAGCAAACAGGAUUAGAUACCCUAGUAGUC